CGCUGGCCAAGACCCCCUAGCAUCUGGGACCAGAGGAAGGGGAAUGUUGCUGAACCCUCAGAUGAGGAGCGGAAGAAGAAGUCUCAGUUUACAGGGGCUCUCCAGAGACACCGGGUAUCCAGAGUGCUGCCUGCAGAGGACUUCCCUGCUCGUGGGGCCUGGACACUUGGCCGUGAGGUUUGGGACAAGCAGGUCCACAGCGUCGGGCCUGGGAGCCCUGGUGUGCUAGUCCUGCAGCUGCCAGACAGAGAAGAUUCUGCUCAGGGCCAGACCUUGGCGGGCUGGGUGAGGGUGUUCAAGGCACUUCCCACUGCCCUGGGAACCCAGCGAAUGAGGCUGGAGGAAAGAAUAAAACCAGAAGGUACCUAUCACUCACCAGCCAGUCCCGUCCUCCCAGCUCUUCCUUCCCAUCACCGCUGACCACACAGGCCUCUCUCUGAGUGCUGACAGCUGUGCUCUCUGAACCCCAACUGGCCAAAGAGUGCAGGGAGCAGGCCACAGCACGGAUGGCUUUGGAGGAGUCCCCAGGACAAGUUGGUCGCUGGGGCUAGUUCCUGUCAGCUGUCCAGGGCUGAGCUCCGGCCCGGGCUGCUCACAGAGCCGCAUUGUUCC
Molecule: long non-coding RNA, 612 nt
Organism: Bos taurus (domestic cattle)
Lineage: Eukaryota; Metazoa; Chordata; Mammalia; Artiodactyla; Bovidae
Source: Ensembl